UACGUAGGGGGCAAGCGUUGUCCGGAAUUAUUGGGCGUAAAGAGCGCGUAGGCGGUCCGGUAAGUCGGCUGUGAAAGUCAAGGGCUCAACCCUUGAAAGCCGGCCGAUACUGUCGGACUAGAGUCCGGAAGAGGCGAGUGGAAUUCCCGGUGUAGCGGUGAAAUGCGCAGAUAUCGGGAGGAACACCGGUGGCGAAGGCGGCGUCCUGGACCAACACUGACACUGAUGAGCGAAAGCCAGGGGAGCAAACGGG
Molecule: ribosomal RNA, 253 nt
Filed under: uncultured bacterium
Lineage: Bacteria
Description: partial 16S ribosomal RNA
Rfam family: Bacterial small subunit ribosomal RNA
Source: RNAcentral